Molecule: long non-coding RNA, 15956 nt
Filed under: Setaria italica (foxtail millet)
Lineage: Eukaryota; Viridiplantae; Streptophyta; Magnoliopsida; Poales; Poaceae
Description: long non-coding RNA (SITA_LNC002480)
Source: RNAcentral
GAACGGAGCUUCCGGCAUCAUCGGGCUCGGCAGGGGCACCCUGUCACUCGUCUCCCAGCUCGGCGACACCAAGUUCUCCUACUGCCUCACGCCCUACUUCAGCGACGCCGUCAACACGAGCCACCUGUUCGUCGGCGCGUCCGCCGACCUGAGCGGCGGCGGCGCGCCGGUGACGUCCGUGCCGUUCGUCAAGAACCCGAACGACGACCUGUACGACACGUUCUACUUCCUGCCCCUCGCCGGGAUCACGGUGGGGGAGGCCAAGCUCGACGUCCCCGCGGCGGCGUUCGACCUCCGGGAGGUCGCGCCGGGGCGGUGGGCCGGCACGUUAAUCGACUCCGGCGCCCCGUUCACGAGGCUCGUCGACGUGGCGUACCAGGCGCUGAGGGCGGAGCUGGCGCGGCAGCUGGGCGACAGCGUCGUGCCACUGCCGGCCGGGGUAGAAGGGUUCGACCUGUGCGUGGCCGUGGCGCAGGGGGACGCCAGCAAGCUGGUGCCGCCGCUGGUGCUGCACUUUGGAAGCGGCGGCGGCGCUUCGUCGGACCUGGUGGUGCCGCCGGAGAACUACUGGGGGCCCGUGGACGAGGCCACGGCGUGCAUGGUGGUGUUCAGCGCGGCGCGGCCGAACGCGACGCUGCCGAUGAACGAGACGACCGUCAUCGGCAACUACAUGCAUCAGAACAUGCACCUGCUGUACGACAUGGGCAACGGCGUCCUCUCCUUCCAGCCGGCGGACUGCAGCUCCGUGUGAUGAUUUGUUCACUGUGGGCACGCCAUAUGGAGGCAUGAUAACCAAUGGCUGCAAUUUGCGUCUCUUCAUGUAUGUAUACAUAUACAUAUUUGUUUUGUAACGAAAACCUACAGUGAAAAAGCUUUAUUUAAUUUGCAUUUGACUAUUUGUUUUACAAACAACAAAAUAUGUAUUUUUUCCGAAAAAUUGUAAUAAAUUAAAUUGAUAUUAAAACUUUUUUAUACUCACGUACACGCACACACAUACCCUACAAGUAUAUCCGAGACACUAGAGGAGCUACGUUGGGGCGGCCGUGGCCCCCCUAGCAAUUUUCAAAGAAAGCACACGCCUCACUAUUUAAAAACGCGGCAUUAGUCCCGGUUAGUAAGGUUAAAAAUCCGAAAAUCCAUUCGGGAUUAAAUUUUCGAGAGAAAAGGGGUUCUUUAGUACCGGGUCAUUCACCCGGGACUAAAGACCCCAUUUAGUCCCAGUUGGUGUUACCAACCAGGACUAAAAGGUUUCCAGAAAAAAAUAAAAAAAGCCACCGCGCCCACGCCUGCUGGCCGGCCGCCCGCCCGCCCGUCCACCCGCCUCCGCCCGCCGCCGCUCGGCUGGCCGCGCCACGGCCCUGCCCUCACCCUGAUGCCGCUCCUCACUGCUAGUGAGGGGCGAGCAUAGGGGGAAGGGGAGGGGCAGCAGAGGGGAGGAGGCGGCGGCGGGAGGAGGGAGAAGAUAAGGAAGGAAGAAGGUGGAAGAUAAGGAAGGAAGAAGGUGGAAGAUAAGGAAGGUGGAAGGUGCCUGGAAAAAAUAAGGAAGGUGGGAGGGGGGCCGCGUGUGGAAACCCCUUUUGUCGUGGUUGGAAUUUCCAACCGGGACUAAAUCUUCUGUCCCGGUUGGAAUUACCAACCGGGAUAAAGGGGUGGGGGAGGGGGUUUGUCCCGGUUGGAAUUUUCAACCGGGACAAAGGGGGGCGGUGCCAGUUUUUUUAGCCGUUACAACUGGGACUAAAGGGGCCCUUUAGUUCCGGUUGGUCCUCCCGUCAGUGACCUUUGGUACCUUAUUUUUAACCUGGGACUAAAGACGCUUUAGUCCCGAGUCCAAAGUCAACUGGGACUAAAGGGAUUGAAUGUAAGGUCAGUUCUCCGGUAGGACCUCCAUAGCUGCAUGCAUGCCUAAACUAGAGAGCACAUCCGUUGUUGUGCAUGGCCACGUGCAUAAAUGCAUUCUCUCUCCUACAAACCAUGCAUUCUUCCAUUCCUUAGCUGUAUUGAUAGGUACCUCGGCUACUAUAUUAUACUUAUUCAUUGCAUUUUUGGGAUUCUUUUGUUGUUGUGGAAUCUGAGAGGUCAUACACCAGGUGUAUUUAGUUUAGAAUAUGUCUAACCCACCUCCAACUAGCAUUAGAUACACAUGGAUCAUCUGAACUAUUCUUAAAAUUUGCAUAUUUACCGUCUCCUUCAAGGACAACGCACAAUGCGUGCAGUGUGGUAAUAGUUAGCAGGAGCACAUGCAGGCAUGCAACUCGAUCCCUUCUUAAGCUGCUCCUGUCUUAGUAUUGUGGUUAUGUCACUCAUCUAAUGAGUAGUAGAUCACAAAUUCAUAAAAAGUAUAUAUGCAUAUGCCGGUGUGCCUAUCGUCUACACACAAUCCAUAUGACCAGCUUUGGAACUACAACGUGCCAUUGCAUAUAAUUGUAGAUUAGUCAUUAGCCUGGAAUUGGCCCCCCUUGAUUUCACUCCUAGCUCCGCCACUGAUCCGAGAGAUUAAUCCGGCAUAUCUUGAGAUUAAAAAAGUGGCAAGCAGCUCACUGUUGUCAAUUACGUCAUCUACCAACAAAAUAAUAGCGGGAGUUGAGAAUUCAAACCUGGUUGACAUGCUUCACCUCAAAAGAUUCUAAUUAACCAAGAGCUUAAUAUAUACCAUCCCAAAAAACAUGUCAUUUAGAUUCAAAAUUUAUCAAAAAACUAUGUCGUUUUACUCUAUAUAGUAUUUGCAAGUGCAUGUGGCUUUUAAUUAAUACUAAAUAUGGCCAACAAACACUCCUUCCAUCCUCUAAUAUAUAACGUUGAUUAGUUUAAAAAUGAGCUAACCAACAUCAUAUAAUAGAGAACAUCAUAUAAUAGAGAACGUAGGAGCAAACAAGAUCAUUUUAUUUUUUUAUUAAUUUAUCCUAUAAUGUGUAAAAUGAUUUGUUUUUGGGACGGAGGGAGUAUACGAGUCUAUAUGGUUUUGUUAAUCUUCACUUGCCCUCCGUCGUCGGCUCGGCCUCCCCGUCACCGCUGCCUGUGAGAAGGAAAAAGAAAGAAAAACCUUCCCAACUGUCACGCUGACAUGCUGUGAUGCGAGCAAGAUGAUUCCCUGACGCGUUGAAACUACAACUAAUAGCUUUAGUUUUAUGGCUGCGCCCGGUCUUAAUCACAAGAUACAGAGCGUUUCAAUUGCAAUGCUGGUGAUGAGCAACGCCGCCAAUCAGCAGUUCUUUUUUUGGCAAACUCCGCCGACCAGCAGUUAAGCGCUCCUCCUCAACUCACCUUACAAGUAACAACUCACCUUACUUGAAUCAAUGGCUCUAGGAUAUCAGUUCAUCAGUCAUGUCGUGCCCGACUUAUUAGCUUGAUUUUUCAGGAAUCUCAGCUUGAUUAUUCGCCCCACGGUCGCUAUGGGCUCAUAGAGGUUGCUUGUUUAAUUUAAGAUGCUUUGGCUAAUGGCUAGGAAAAGAAUUAAUUUCUAUUCUCUAGGGUAUAAUAUAUCAUCAUCAGAUCAGUUGUUUGUUUUAUGUAACCAGCAAUUAAUGUGCUAUUGUACCCGCAAAAAAAUUAAUGAGCUAUUGUAAUUUCUUUUUGCAGCGUGUAGGUAUAAUGUCAGUAAGCGAUAAUACCUUGAGAAAAAACUCUUUUUUUAAUGAUCCUGCUAUCAACUAUAUUUUUUCUGCGGUAACUAUUUGUUAUUCACCUUUAGAAAAAAGUACAGUAUGUGAACAGGAACAAACAUGGUUGAAGCAAUCUAUUUCAUUUUUAUUCGAUUAUACAUACUUUCUCAAGAAAAAAUUAUAUACAUAGAGUUCUGUCUUGGAGGGUAAUCUGAUAUUGUAUUUUUAUAACUCGGAUGAUUGAACUGUUGAUUCUAAUCAAAACAUCAUCAUCGAUAGCUGAAAUCGUACAAUCGUUUACAUUGAAGGAAUUGGAGGGGAUGAUAAGUUUGAUGAUGCUAUCAAGUCCAAUGAUCUUUUGAACUUUCCAAAUUCAAGAUUGCAUUUUCCUUUUGAAUUGACAAACAUUUAUCCUGCCUUCUUUAAAAUCACAAUUCACAAAACAUACGUUGGCACUUCCGCCAUGUUGUAUUAAUUGUGAUCCGUUCUUUUACAGAGCUUACAUAUGUAUGUAUACGUUGUCAUGGUGUAUGUCUUCUUCAAGAGAUUUACUUAUAGAUGGCCAAGCAGGCGGCCCAACCCGGCCUAGCACGAGCCCGAUUAGGCCCGGCCUGUUUAGACCUGCACAGUAAUCGUGCCGGUCGGCCCACGUGCUGAAGGAGUGGCCCAGGCUCGGCCUGCUGCCUUCUUAGGCAGGUCGUGCUGGCCCGCUGGCCUAGUAGGCCUUAAUAGGCUCGCCGUGCCCAUGCCGGCCCGUGGCAUGGCUCUGGCUCUCUUUUCCUUGCUGUCGCAGUCGUGGAGGGCCACAGUCCCNNNNNNNNNNNNNNNNNNNNNNNNNNNNNNNNNNNNNNNNNNNNNNNNNNNNNNNNNNNNNNNNNNNNNNNNNNNNNNNNNNNNNNNNNNNNNNNNNNNNCGAUAUUCAUCGGCGCCAAGACUGUAGUAGGGUUACGGCCAACCAUUUAUCCGAGAUUUCAGCUGGGCUGAGGCGGGUCGUGCCACCGUUUAUGGCCCACGAGCCAAAUGGGCUAGGCCGUGCCGGGCCAGCCCAUCGGCUGAGGUAGCAGUCCAGGCCCGACCCGUGGUGUAGGCUGGGCCGGCUCGGCCUACAAAGCUGUCGUGCUUGGACGGGUCAAAAUGUCGUGUCGUGGGCCAGCCAACAGGCCGCGGGCCAAAUGGCCAUAUAUAGGUUUACUCCUCAGGCGACUGAGGAUUUGUUUAUGCAUCAGUCGACGCUGUGAACCGUCCGAUCGGAGCUGAACGUGUGAGAUUGUAAUCGGCCGCCGCCUGUGUCAGUUGUUUGUGCCCUUUGUAGUCGGUGUUAAAAUGUUAUCGGGUUUGGGCUGAAUGGUUGAUACUCCACUCGCUGUCUCCCUCCCUGUCAUUUCUUGACUGAGCUGUGCGGAGGCGAAACGGGCGGAGACGGUGAGGCCUGGGAUUCGGCGGCUUGUCUGCCUCGAUAACGACGGUAGGUUUCCGGCGAGGUCUUCUCGAGGUUGGUCUCUUCUUCUCUCCGUCUUUCCUUUCUCGGUUCUGUUGUUUGAUGCGAGGGGAGGCGCAGAAGUCGGCUGUUGAGAUCUCCCCGUCAUCGCCUAACCACUGUCCUGCCUCUCCCAAAUGCUGACCAGGCCUGUAGCCGCCUGGGGAAUUAUAACGUUGUGUUCGAUUUGUGCCAGUAAAGGUCCAUGUGUGCUGUGUUCAUCGAUUUUUUAUGAUUUAUCAUUCAUGUGUAUGUCUUGUGUGCAGUCAACUGGGAGAUGUGUUGGGGACUUGGGGUCUUCAGGUGUGCCAGAUCCGCACCAGGUAUUCUAUGGAAUCCCCAUUCGUUUUCUGUCAUUGAUUUUUGUUAUUCACAUUUGAUUUAAUCACAUUUGAUUUAGCUUCAAUCAGUUUGGACUUCGUGAUUCUGUGUUGUAAUGUUUUGAUUUAGGCAUAUAAGGUUUCCUCGUGGGCUAUGUUGUGUCUGACAGUUAGCCUUAUUAGGGUUUAGUUUGGGGAAUCAUAGUCUCCUAUUGUCUGAUAUGUUCUCAAUUAUGAUUCAGUUUUUGUUAUUUGUGGUAUACUAUUUUCCAAUUUUGAGCUCAAUUUGGAUAUUGAUCUGAUAAUGGCUAAUUUGUUGCCUCUAAGGGUUCUGACUUUUGACUUGGGGAUAUAUGCUCUGUUAAUUACAGGUUAGAGCUCUAUUAGGUCCCCAUUAGCUUCACAUUUGUGGUCAAUGUACCUUUCUGUGUUGUGACAUCCAGAGCGCACUACAAGAAUUUGUGUUCAAUGUACCUGUUUGUUUGAAAUUCCCCCUCGUGAGAUCGCCCCUUUUCCAGUUCACCUUCUUGGUGAGAUCAUCAACCUAUCUUUUCUGUCCUUUCUCAUUUCGGAUUUGAUUGGUUCUUCUCAAUUUAGUCAUGCCUUUUGCUUUUGUUGUCCCCUGCUGUUUGGAGUUCACUGAUGUCAUGUUUUCUGCUUCCCAUUUGUGUUCUGUUUUUUUUCUUUUCCAUCUGUCCAUUGCUGUCACCUGCAUCUCCUUGCAGAACUGUGAUUAGAACUAGGAUAAUUUAGGGAUUACAUUCUUUUUAUGGCCAAAAUGAUUUUAAGGUUGCUUUGUCUUCUUUUUAUUCUCUUGCUAUCUUGUACAUGUCUUGCGAAUCAGGUGCUUUAAAUGUUUUUCCAUUUAUGUUUUAAAUAUGUAAGUGGAGAUGAGUAUGAUCCUUUGGAUUUUGCCUUCAUCAUGGCUAAGGGUGGACACGAGCUUCACUUGAAUAGCAGGAUAGCAGCACGGAUACCCUUCUUUCCAUGGGAAGUCUGUAGGCCAGCCACAUGGUCCCUACAUUCCUUUUCAGAGCCGUAGCCUUACUCCUCUUCCAUUAUUUUUUCUAAAUCACAAAGUUACUGGCUUAUUUUUGUUUUUUUUUUUGUCUGGAGAAAAAAGAGCUUUGGUGUUCUAGAAAAUAGGGCAGAGAGGAAGGGAUGGGCUGUGGCAGAUGGCAAUUGUGGAGCUGCUGGAAACAGGUAUAUGCAGUCAUAUAACAUGCCUUGAUAGCAGGUAUAAAAUUUGAUGGUUUUUCCUUGUAAUUUUAUAGUAUUGCCAUGGUUUGGCAUAAUGAAGAACUCUGAACUUCCAUUUUAGGGUCUGCUGAUCUAUCAUCUAGAACUGCAUCUAGUUUGUUAAAGUCUGCAACAAUAAUGAGGGUGCUUUCCAUCUCUGUGAGGAGUGCUUCGACUUCGGUAUGUAGGAAAAAUUGAUUUCGUCAAUAUUGGAAAAUAGUUGCAAUAUCAACUGGUAUAUUUCAAGUGCAAUGUGUUUCCCUUUCAAUGGUAUCUAGAGUAAUUUCUACCAACAAGACUGAACUAUGUAUUAUCUACCACUUUUUAUCAGGUUUUGAUUGUCAAGUACUGUUUUCUUGCUUUAUUGUUCAGGGUCGACAGAAGCCCGCUAUAUGUACACAUAUGAUCCUGGGUGUUUUUCCAUCUCCGGGACUAUACUAUCUUUUUAUAAUAUCAGUUGUACACUAAGUACAAGAAUAAAGAUGAUGAAAUAUUAAUAAUAAAUAAUUUGGACUAGGAUUACACCAUGGCAUAGCAUCAUAAUUUUGGUGCAUUUUGUUAUUUUUUCUGUAUUGUGCAUGACCUAUGUUUUUCUGCCAAAACUGCAGGUAUAAUGUGUUUACUGUUCCUUCCAGCUUGCUUGUCUAGUGUAUAUACAUGGGAUGGCAUGUCUUUGUUCAUUUGUGUUGUCAGAGGUUUCAGUCACCUUUUCUUAUGUUUACGAGCUGUAAUUCAAGUCCAAACUAUCCUACUCCCAUAAAAAUUUAGGAGUUGACCACAAAUCUGCUAUAUGUAACUGUGUAAAACCAGGCCAGCUUGCCAAGAAAUUCAUAGUAUUCUAAGCUUAUGGGUUCACAAUGUUCUGCACUAGUCUUGAAUUUACUUUUGGUAGAAACUGACAUGGUAAAUCAAGUAUUAAGUUAUCUACUUGCAGUACAUUGAUUGAUCUAGAUUAUGUGUCAUAGUAAAAGAAUGGAGCUAAUAAUAUAUGAGCUGAAGAUUGUAUCGAUUUUAAUAUGAAAUUGCAAACAAUUACACCAUGAUGUACCAUCCUAAGUUUUCUGUUAUGUUAAUAUAAAUUUGUAAUUGUGCAUCAGUGUGACAGUUAAGACUUAAGGGGCUAGAGUUACACGGCUUGCUGAUUGCAUUCUGUUUGUGGUGAACUCAUCACCAUGGUCAAUAUUUUAUUGUCUAGGUUAGAACAAAAUUGUGGCUAUUAUAUUCAUAUUUCACUUCAUUUUCCUAUAGGAUUCUUCAUCAUUUUAAUAUUUUCUUAUACCUUUCUUUUAUGAACUGAGUGAGGCCUAGUGUAAGGUGUUGACAUGAACUGGGUUGUGCUGUGUUUUUUUCCAAUUAUGAUCUAGGUCAAGUCAAAUCUUUUGACUUAGAUAUGUUCAUUCACAUGUUAACUGAAGCUAAAUUAACUGGCAGUUCAGUAAUUGAGAUCAAUGCUAUUAAUAAUAGGUUUAGAACACAAUGAUCAGAUCUAAUGUUUUUGCAGCUUGCUACUGUUCAGUAUUAAGUUAUCUCAAAUACAGUUAACUAAUUGAGAUCAAUGCAGUACUCUUAUCCUUAAUUUUUUGAGUUGCAGGCUUUCACACAGAUAAGACUUGAUCGUUGAACUUGUGCUUCACCAAUUUGAUCAUGUGGUUCUCACUGAUAUAGGUAUAUGAAGUUGCCCAACAAGCACACAUGAAUACAUGAUUUUUGUCUGUUUGUUGCCUUCAACCAGUAGCUUUAAAGUUUAGUCCAAAACUCAAAACAGAUCUACAUUUCACAUAUGUAGGUCAUGUUUUGCGUACAACUUGGGCAAAAAUUUACUAUUUUUUAUGUUACAUUUGUCAAAAACAUAGUAAUUAUUUUAAUGUUUUUAAGAUGUUCAUGUUCCUGUAAUUUUUACGUUUGCACGAAUGUAAAAUUCUGUGUUGAAUUUGCUGUAAUAACUCAAAUCAGUUUGAUUUUGUGCACGCGUGUUCAAUUGUAUCUACUGUGAGCAACGGUUACAGGCCAAAAAUGAAGCUGCCCAAUCUAUUCAAUUGAAAGCUGGCUGUGUUGUUUUUCUUUUGGGUGAGUAAGUGGGCUGUGUUGUUCCCUAUAGAUGGGCUAUAUUAUUGUGAAAAUUUACCGAUCCUACAAUUUUCUGGACUGGAUUUGAUCAGCCCAGCAACGUAUAGCGUUGAAGGGCCCGCAACACAGCUAGUGGAUCUGUUAACGGGGUGUCUGGUGGGAUUUGUACAGGUUUGAUCAGGUAGCGUUAGAUGUGUAUCGAACGGCUAGGACUGGUGACUGACGGAUAAGCAAUCCGUCAGUCACCUGACGCGGAGACAGACCCCUUCUUCAAUCCUUGUCGACUUUGCCCCUGGAUUUCAGUACAAGGAUUGUUGUGUGGCUGCUUGGCAUUGCCCUAUCCACCCGAGGGCAAGUGGGCAACAUGAUAGAGAUCACUACUAGAUGCCCUAUCCACCCGAGGGUAACACGAAUACGACAGAGAGCUGAAAGAGCCUGGAAGAUCUUAUAAUGGAAUUCAUCAUACAUGGUAAGAUUAAAAUGGGGACGCCAUUGCUCUGGCUCGUGCUCUUCUCCUCCUCCCUGACCUUCACCACCUGUGCCGGCCUCCGCCUCGAGCUCACCCACCUCGAUGCCAACUGCACCGUCGAGGAGCGCAUGCGCCGUGCCAUGGCGCGGACCCGCCAUCAGCUGGCGUGGACGGACGCGGUGUCCGCACCCGUUCACUGGGUGAGGUCGCAGUACAUCGCCGAGUAUCCCAUCGGCGACCCGCCGCAGCAGGCCGAGGCCAUCAUCGACACCGGCAGCAACCUCAUGUGGACGCAGUGCUCCGGCUGCCGCUCAUCAUCUACUAGUUGCUUCAGCCAAGGCCUCUCCAUCUACGACCCCUCCCAGUCGCGCACGGCCCAUCAGCCCGUGGCCUGCGGCGACGCGGCGUGCUCCCUCGGCUCCGAGACGCGGUGCGCGGGUGAUGGCCAGGCGUGCGGUGUCUUCACCUCCUACGGCGCCGGCACCAUCACCGGGCUCCUCCGCACCGAGGAGUUCACGUUCGGGUCGGAGAAGGUGACCCUCGACUUCGGGUGCAUCACCGCGACGAGGAUCACGCCGGGCUCCCUGGACGGCGCGUCCGGGAUCAUCGGGCUCGGCAGGGGCGGGCUGUCGCUCGUCUCCCAGCUCCGCGACACCACGUUCUCCUGACGCCCUACUCAACCGACACCGUCGACCAGAGCCACCUCUUCGUCGGCUCGUCGGCCGGCCCGAGCCCCGGGAACAACGCGCCGGUGACGUCCGUGCCGUUCGUCGAGAGCCCCAACGGGGACCCCUUCAGCACGAGCACGUUCUACUACCUGCCCCUCACCGGCAUCACCGUCGGCGGGACCUCGCUCGACGUCCCCGCGGCGGCGUUCGGCCUCCGGCAGGUCUCGUCGGGGGACUGGGCGGUGACGCUGAUCGACUCGGGCUCCCCGUUCACGAGGGUCGUCGACGUGGCGUACCAGGCGCUGAGGGACGAGCUGGCGUGGCAGCUGGGCGCCAGCCUCGUGCCGCCGCCGGUCGGGAUGAGAGGGUUGGACUUGUGCGUGGCGCGGGGAGACGCCGGCAAGCUGGUGCCGCCGCUGGUGCUGCGCUUCGGGAGCGGCGGCGGCGGCGGCGGGGAUUUGGUGGUGCCGCCGGAGAAUUACUGGGGGGGCCUGGACGACGCCACGGCGUGCAUGAUGGUGUUCAGCUCGUCGGAUGAGACGACCAUCAUCGGCAACUACAUGCAGCAGGACGUGCACCUGCUCUACGACCUCGGCAAUGGCGUGCUCUCCUUCCAGACGGUGGACUGCAGCUCCAUGUGAUGAUUUGUAUGGUCACGGCAGCCGGCCAUACGUAGAGAGAGUACACCUGCUUGUAUGUGUGCACAUUGCACACCAUAUGCACGUCACCACGUCUACUAAAAAAACAUGUCCGUGCAUCGCAACGAAAAAAAACCCCCCUCAUAUACCCCCUUCCUAAUAAACAUGCAUUGUCAAGGACUCAAGUGAUGAGUUGAUUUAUGAUCCACGUCAAUUAUUUACAAAAUGUGCUUCAAAUUCAUGCGCAAGCUGCGCUUAUUUAUUUUAGAUAGACAAGAGUAAAAAGGGGAAAAAAUUGAAGUCAAGGUUGUUGUGCCAUGUUCAAAAUUUCAGCCGAAAUGAAAUUUUGGUCUUUCCGGUGAUGAUCAAAAUUACUUUUUGCCCGAACUUCGCUCUCUUCAUCGAAAAAUGCACUUUUAGUCCAAAUUUUGGCCUAAAUUUCGCAAAAUUCAGUAUUUUUUAUGGGAACAGAAAAAUUGAAAAAAACAAAAUCCCAAUCCGUUGGGACAGAGAUCCUAGAUGUAUCAUUUUUCAAUAUCGGACAUAAGAUCGUACCAUAGAAUCAUAACUCGAAUAUAUAUACUUAGAUAAAAUCAAAACAAUGACAAUUAGUGUAUUCUCGAUCUCACACAACUCUUUAGAGUCUAGAGAAACCUUUCAAUUUGAAUAUGAUGAGAUAUACAAAGGGUUAUUCAUGGCGAUGGGAAUUAUUAGUUGGAGAGUUGCUUUGCAAUCGCACAACAUACUUUUUCGCAGAUUCUCUUUGGAUGUUUUUACUCAAAUGUCAAUUUAAAUUUUCUAGAUACAUAGUUUCAUAACAUAUACCUUUGGAUUAAAAAAGUCAAAAUAACUUAUAAUUUAGAAUGGAAGGAAAGGAUAAAAGAAAAACACUUGAUUCGCACAUGGCAGCCACAAGGCAAAGGUUACAAACAUGGAGCUGAGCGUGACGGCACUCACGCUGACAAGGAGCCCGCUGUGCUACACAGCCUACAGAAAUUGCAACUCCACAGCCAAUGGUUUCGUAGAGGUAAACUACUCCUCGGUGAAUGGUGAGGCAGCUGAGAUGUUUCCCUCCAGCUUCACACGCCAGACGCCCAGACGCGGCUUUGACCCUGCAGAUGAAGCUCCGGGCAUUGCGCGUCUUUCGAAAUGUGUCAUACUGUCAAGGAGAACAAGGUACGGUACGUGACGAGCACUGAGCUUUCUCUUGUAUUUUCUCAGAAGCUGCCUGACACGAAACCACCAGUCCUGCAGGCUCUGGAAACUUGAAAUUAAGAUCCAACCUCUUGUAUCUAAAGUCGGUCCUAGCAUUCACCUUGACGUGCGACUGUUUGCGUCACACGUUCAAAGCUUGGCUAGUACUAAUGCAUAGAAGAAGCUAAACAACAUAUAAUGUGUCUACCUGACUUGAUAUGUGUCAAAAAAUAAGAGAAUUGUCCACAUUUCACAUUUUGGUUCUGACUGGCUGUUAAAUUAAUAAUAGCUUAAUAUGAUAUCAAAGCCAAAGUUUCAGUCAUAUCUGGUAAAACUUAAUAAAAUAUUGGCAGCCUACUAAUUAAUGUUUCUGAACCCGAGGCUUAAAAAAGCCUACAAUUGAUAAGCUUAAGCUUUUGUGGCAUAGUAGUUCAAUACCAUGAGCAACUCUCAAGAUUUGUGAUGAUUCGUGUGCACGAACCUAGCUCAUAAGUUAUUUUUUUGCUUGCCAUGUCAUUUAAUCAUCAAAGAAAAGGAAAAAAACAAAACUCAAUCAAGGACAAAUUUGCAGCCAUGUAAUAAUUUUGAAUGGACAUCAACCAUUUUUUUUUUGGGAAAUCUGAUUAUGUUGAAAUUUGGAGGGUAAGUCUGUGGAUUUUCCAUGGACUUGGCAAAGGAUUGUGACGCAUAGACUUAGAAGGUCAAGUCAAUAUAUAAAUGCUACCUACACCUUGAUAGAAAUGGCCAAUUGCAUUAUUUUCAUGUGUAAUUAUACUAAAUCUAAUAAAGCAUGUAAAUGGACUUUUAUAUAUAGAUAUUGCUAAAUAUGAAUUUCAAUUCAACGACAAAAUAAUUAAUAAUAAGGAAAAAGUAUAAAUCACUCCGUUGGGAAAAGGAAUCCGUUUGGUACCCUCUCCCUUAUUUUGAGACUUCACGAUUAGCUAACUAAAUAAGUUGGAGGCGAAUUGUUGUGAUUUUUCAAAUUCAACAACAAAAGCAUUAAUAAUAAGGAAAAAGUCUAAAUCACUCCCCUCAAGUAUAGCCAAAGACUGAAUAACCCCCUAAAGUAUUUCUUGGUCAGUUUUCCCCCUAAAUUAUGCAAUUUGGUUCAAUUUACCCCCUUUAUCUUUUUUUUCCAUGCACAAGUGGAGUCUUAAGUUAAAAUUUUGCAAGAUAAUAGCAGAUAUCAUAAGAUGUGUGAAAAAAAUAUAUCAUGAUUUGUUUAUCAUUAUUUUGACAAGGUAGGAUGUUUAAUAAUAGAUUUUUCUUUAGUAUACAAAAUUAUAUGAAAAAUAAUGAUAAAAAAUUUAUAAUAUAUUUUUUAAAUGUAGAUCUGAUGUCCAGUAUCACCCUGCAGAAUCUCAAAUUAAAAUUCAACUUGUGUAUGGAGGUGGAGGAAUAAAAGGAACAAAUUAUAUUAUGAGGUAAGUUGAACCAAAUAGUAUAGUUUAGGGGGUAAAUUGAACCAAAAGAUAGUUUAGGGGUAAUUUGGAGGUUCGCUAUAUUUGAGGGAAGUAAUUUGGAUUUUUUUCCUAAUAAUAUUGAAAUAAAUCUAAGUAGGCAUGACUCUUAAAAACAUGGCAUCUGAAUUGUUCAGUUAAAAACUUUUAGCCAUGUAGCUCACCUGAGGUCAGGCGAACAUGGUUCAUUCUAAAAGAGAUGCGUGACUUAAUCUGCAUGAUACAAUCAACUUCACUGACGAUCAUGUAAUUAUUAAUAUGACAAAAUAUUUCAUUAAUCCUGUAAAAUCUUGUGUUGAUCUAAUACAUUUUUUUUAAAAAAAAAUCAAAUUUACCGAGCAAUCUGUAAUUAAUGCAUACACUUUCAGUUGCAGUGAUGUCCUCAAUUGGACAUUUUGUCAAGCAAUCUUUAUGUAUUCAUUAAUUCCUCACUCAUCACGAUGUUAUAAAUACACUUAACCUCCGUGUACAUCUCAUAAUGCACGCACUGGCACUCUCACACACACAAGUAAGGGCGGAGCUUAGUGAGGACUAACAGGGGCCAUUCAUCUUCUAUCUCUAACCUCGAUCUACUUUCAAGCUUCAAUGUAUGUAAAUUUAUAGGAGAGGCUCCAUGACUCUAGCAACAGUAGGAGGAGCUUGAGCCCCAUUCACCCUGGUGCUAGAUCCUCCCCUAAUUAAAGAUUAGGUAUGAAAAUGGCGAUCCCUGUUUUGAGUAGUUCCUAAUCUUUGAGGUGCCGGCCCCUCCUCAACGUCGGAUCAAGCUCCACGACUGCACACCACGCCAAAGAGUUCAAGUAUGAUAAAAAUGGCGAGACGACCUUUGCUCUAGCUCGCGCCCUCUUGUGGGCCCCUAAUAAUAGCUUAAUAUGAUAUCAAAGCCAAAGUUUCAGUCAUAUCUGAUAAUUCUUAAUAAACAAUUGCAAUGAAGCCUACUAAAGUUUUCUGUAUCCGAGAAAGCCUACGAUAGGGGGAGCGCCAUACCAUAAAUGAUUUUUCUCAUAUUUUUUCAUAAGCUUAUUAAGUUUUUCGGGCAUAGUAGUUCAAUACCAUGAGGAACUCUCAUAAGUUAUUGUUUUACUUGCCAUGCCAUUUAAUCAUCAAAGAAAAGUAAAAAAACUAAAAAUCAAGGAAAAUUUUGCAUCCAUGUAAUAAUUUUGGAUGGACAUCAACAAUUUUUUCUAGGAAAUCUGAUUAUGUUGAAAUUUGGAGGAUGAGUCUGUGGAUUUCCAUGGACUUGGCAAAGGAUUGUGACACGUAGACUUAGAAGGUCAAGUCAAUUGCCUCCAAAAUGCUACCUACACCUUGAUAGCAAUAGACAAUUACAUAAUUUUCAUUAGUAAUUACUAAACCUGACUAAGCAUGGAAAACGGCCUUUUUUAUAUAUAGAUAUUGCUAAAUAUGAUUUUCAUUUAAAGAAUAAAGCAUUAAUAUCAAAUACGAAUCUAAGUUGGCAUGACUCUUAAAAACAUGACAUGCGAAUUGUUCAGUUAAAAACUUUUAGCCAUGUAGCUCAACUGAGGUCAGGUGAACAUGGUUCAUUCCAAAAGAGAUGCAGUGAUACGAUCAACUUCACUGGCAAUCAUGUAAUAAUUAAUAUGGCAAAAAAUAUUUCAUUACCCCGUAAAAUCUUGUGUCGAUUAUUUUUUUAAAAAAUUAUAUUUACUGAGCAAUACCUUUGUUUCAAAUUGUAAGUCGACUUUUCUAGAUAAUAUAUAUAUCUAGUAAAAAUUAUGUAUGUAGAAAAGUUAAAACGGUCGACAAUUUGAAACGGAGGGAGUCCAAUGUCCAGUUACACUAAUUCGACAUUUUGUCGAUCUUUAUUUAUCAUCCAUUAAUUCCCCACUUAUCAGGAUGUGUUAUAAAUAUACGCUUAACCUCCCUCUACAUAUCACAAUGCACACGCUCACACACGAACACAAAACCCAAAAGAAUUCACGCUAGAUCAAAAUGGAGAGACCUUUGCUCUGGCUCGCGCUCUUGUGCGCCUCCCUGAUGCCGUUCCCCACAAACUGCGCCGGCAUCCACCUCGAGCUCACUCACGUCGACGCCAAGGAGAAGUGCACCAUCGAGGAGCGCUUGCGCCGCGCCACCGAGCGCACCCACCGCCGUCUGGCCUCCAUGAUGGGCGGGGUGACGGCGCCCGUCCACUGGGCUGGGGCGACGCAGUACAUCGCCGAGUACCUCAUCGGCGACCCGCCGCAGCGCGCCGAGGCCAUCAUCGACACUGGCAGCAACCUCGUCUGGACGCAGUGCUCUCUUUGCCGCCGCACCAGCUGCUUUCACCAGAACCUUCCUUACUAUGAUCCCUCCCAGUCGAGCAGCGUCCGUGCCGUGGCAUGCGAUGACUCCGCUUGCCACUUCGGCUCGGAGACCCAGUGCAACGGCAAGGCGUGCGCCGUCAACACCAGCUACGGCGCCGGCGACAUCUUGGGGCUCCUCGGCACCGAGACGUUCACGUUUGGGUCUGAGAACGUGAGCCUCGCGUUCGGGUGCAUCGACUCGAACGAGCUGACUCCAGGGUCCCUGAACAACGCGUCUGGUAUCAUCGGGCUCGGCCGGGGCAACCUGUCACUCGUCUCCCAGCUCGGCGACACCAAGUUCUCCUACUGCCUCACGCCCUACUUCAGCGAUGCCGUCAACACGAGCCACCUGUUCGUCGGCGCGUCCGCCGACCUGAGCGGCGGCGGCGCGCCGGUGACGUCCGUGCCGUUCGUCAAGAACCCGAACGACGACCUGUACGGCACGUUCUACUUCCUGCCCCUCGCCGGGAUCACGGUGGGGGAGGCCAAGCUCGACGUCCCCGCGGCGGCGUUCGACCUCCG